CCUACGGGAGGCAGCAGUGAGGAAUAUUGGUCAAUGGACGCAAGUCUGAACCAGCCAUGCCGCGUGCAGGAAGAAGGUGCUAUGCAUUGUAAACUGCUUUUAUACGGGGGUAAUUACAGAUACGUGUAUCUGGAUGAAAGUACCGUAUGAAUAAGGAUCGGCUAACUCCGUGCCAGCAGCCGCGGUAAUACGGGGGGUGCAAGCGUUGUCCGGAAUCAUUGGGCGUAAAGCGUUCGUAGGCGGCAAGGUAAGUCUGAUGUUAAAGCCCGGGGCUCAACUCCGGUUCGGCAUUGGAUACUAUCUAGCUAGAAUGUGGUAGAGGUAAAGGGAAUUCCUGGUGUAGCGGUGAAAUGCGUAGAUAUCAGGAGGAACAUCGGUGGCGAAAGCGCUUUACUGGACCAUUAUUGACGCUGAGGAACGAAAGCCAGGGGAGCAAAUGGGAUUAGAUACCCCAGUAGUC
This 460-nucleotide ribosomal RNA is filed under the name uncultured bacterium. Its description in RNAcentral is "partial 16S ribosomal RNA". It matches the Rfam family "Bacterial small subunit ribosomal RNA", at positions 338 to 795 of the family's 1533-position model. The record is from RNAcentral.